RNAcentral lists this ribosomal RNA (346 nucleotides) under uncultured bacterium. RNAcentral's name for it is "partial 16S ribosomal RNA". It matches the Rfam family "Bacterial small subunit ribosomal RNA", at positions 338 to 681 of the family's 1533-position model. The record is from RNAcentral.
CCUACGGGGGGCAGCAGUGAGGAAUAUUGGUCAAUGGGCGCGAGCCUGAACCAGCCAAGUAGCGUGAAGGAUGACUGCCCUACGGGUUGUAAACUUCUGUUAUAAAGGAAUAAAGUGAGGCACGUGUGCCUUUUUGUAUGUACAUUAUGAAUAAGGAUCGGCUAACUCCGUGCCAGCAGCCGCGGUAAUACGGAGGAUCCGAGCGUUAUCCGGAUUUGUUGGGUUGAAAGGGAGCGUAGAUGGGUUGUUAAGUCAGUGGUGAAAGUUUGCGGCGCAACCGUAAAAUUGCCAUUGAUACUGGCAGUCUUGCGUACAGUUGAGGUAGGCGGACUUCGUUGUGUAGCGG